GGGGAAUAUUGCACAAUGGGCGAAAGCCUGAUGCAGCAACGCCGCGUGAGUGAUGAAGGCCUUCGGGUUGUAAAGCUCUGUCUUCUGGGACGAUAAUGACGGUACCGGGAGAAGAAGCUGCGGCUAACUACGUGCCAGCAGCCGCGGUAAUACGUAGGCAGCAAGCGUUGUUCGGAGUUACUGGGCGUAAAGAGUGCGUAGGCGGUUUUCUAAGUUCGGUGUGAAAUCUCCCGGCUUAACUGGGAGGGUGCGCCGAAGACUGGGAAGCUGGAGUGUGGGAAAGGCAGGCGGAAUUCCUGGUGUAGCGGUGAAAUGCGUAGAUAUCAGGAGGAACACCGGCGGUGUAGACGGCUUGCUAGACCAUAACUGACGCUGAGGCACGAAAGCGUGGGUAGCAAACA
Molecule: ribosomal RNA, 401 nt
Filed under: uncultured bacterium
Lineage: Bacteria
Description: bacterial SSU rRNA
Rfam family: Bacterial small subunit ribosomal RNA
Source: RNAcentral